RNAcentral lists this ribosomal RNA (422 nucleotides) under uncultured bacterium. RNAcentral describes it as "bacterial SSU rRNA". It matches the Rfam family "Bacterial small subunit ribosomal RNA", at positions 355 to 774 of the family's 1533-position model. The record is from RNAcentral.
UAAGGAAUAUUGGUCAAUGGAGGCAACUCUGAACCAGCCAUGCCGCGUGCAGGAAGACGGCCCUCUGGGUUGUAAACUGCUUUUAUUCGGGAAUAAACCAAUCUACGUGUAGAUAGCUGAAUGUACCGAAGGAAUAAGGAUCGGCUAACUCCGUGCCAGCAGCCGCGGUAAUACGGAGGAUCCAAGCGUUAUCCGGAUUUAUUGGGUUUAAAGGGUGCGUAGGCGGCCUAUUAAGUCAGGGGUGAAAGACGGUAGCUAAACUAUCGCAGUGCCCUUGAUACUGAUGGACUUGAAUGAACUAGAGGUAGGCGGAAUGUGACAAGUAGCGGUGAAAUGCAUAGUUAUGUCACAGAACACCGAUUGCGAAGUCAGCUUACUAUGGUUUUAUUGACGCUGAGGCACGAAAGCGUGGGGAUCAAACA